GACGAACGCUGGCGGCGUGCUUAACACAUGCAAGUCGAACGGAAAGGCCCUGCUUUUGUGGGGUGCUCGAGUGGCGAACGGGUGAGUAACACGUGAGUAACCUGCCCUUGACUUUGGGAUAACUUCAGGAAACUGGGGCUAAUACCGGAUAGGAGCUCCUGCUGCAUGGUGGGGGUUGGAAAGUUUCGGCGGUUGGGGAUGGACUCGCGGCUUAUCAGCUUGUUGGUGGGGUAGUGGCUUACCAAGGCUUUGACGGGUAGCCGGCCUGAGAGGGUGACCGGGCACAUUGGGACUGAGAUAAGGCCCAGACUCCUACGGGAGGCAGAAGUGGGGAAUAUUGCACAAUGGGCGGAAGCCUGAUGCAGCAACGCCGCGUGCGGGAUGACGGCCUUCGGGUUGUAAACCGCUUUCGCCUGUGACGAAGCGUGAGUGACGGUAAUGGGUAAAGAAGCACCGGCUAACUACGUG
RNAcentral lists this ribosomal RNA (468 nucleotides) under uncultured bacterium. Its description in RNAcentral is "partial 16S ribosomal RNA". It matches the Rfam family "Bacterial small subunit ribosomal RNA", at positions 28 to 507 of the family's 1533-position model. The record is from RNAcentral.